AGCGAACGCUGGCGGCAGGCCUAACACAUGCAAGUCGAACGGAUCCUUCGGGAUUAGUGGCGGACGGGUGAGUAACACGUGGGAACGUGCCCUUUGGUUCGGAACAACUCAGGGAAACUUGAGCUAAUACCGGAUGUGCCCUUCGGGGGAAAGAUUUAUCGCCAUUGGAGCGGCCCGCGUCUGAUUAGCUAGUUGGUGGGGUAAAGGCCCACCAAGGCAACGAUCAGUAGCUGGUCUGAGAGGAUGAUCAGCCACAUUGGGACUGAGACACGGCCCAA
RNAcentral lists this ribosomal RNA (278 nucleotides) under uncultured Caulobacter sp. RNAcentral's name for it is "partial 16S ribosomal RNA". It matches the Rfam family "Bacterial small subunit ribosomal RNA", at positions 29 to 334 of the family's 1533-position model. Lineage: Bacteria; Pseudomonadati; Pseudomonadota; Alphaproteobacteria; Caulobacterales; Caulobacteraceae. The record is from RNAcentral.